ACAACUUUCGACAACGGAUCUCUUGGCUCUCGCAUGAUGAAGAACG
Molecule: ribosomal RNA, 46 nt
Filed under: Schizophyllum commune
Lineage: Eukaryota; Fungi; Basidiomycota; Agaricomycetes; Agaricales; Schizophyllaceae
Description: partial 5.8S ribosomal RNA
Source: RNAcentral